RNAcentral lists this long non-coding RNA (468 nucleotides) under Selaginella moellendorffii. RNAcentral's name for it is "long non-coding RNA (SMOE_LNC001528)". The record is from RNAcentral. Lineage: Eukaryota; Viridiplantae; Streptophyta; Lycopodiopsida; Selaginellales; Selaginellaceae.
AUGAUCAUCAUCAGCCAACGUACUUACUAUCAUUCGGGCGAGAAAAUAAAAGGAAAAUACCCCAAGGUGUUUUGCCUGCUAUGGUUAAGAUUUGGUAGAGAUUUUUAUUUCUUUUUAGAAGUUUGCUUCGCGGAUCCCCCAUUCAGGCUCGAUCAGGCAUGUCGGCGUCUCAUUUAAAUCGCUGUUCUAGCCUGCUUUAGUUCGUGUCUCGAGUUUUAUGAUCCGAUCGGUGUAAGUAGCUGCUAACUUUGAGAUGAAAUGUCCACUCUCGGAUCAGCUCAACUCGAUGCGAUGCGAAGACAAUGCUGCGCUAAACUCGCUCGUUCGUCCUAGAAAUCCAAAAGGGGUACUUUUACCGCGUAAGUUUUUCCGUGUAGCGAAGCUCGCGCUCGCAGUCCUUUCAAUCGAUUUAACAAUCGAUCUUGUUGCAGAGGCAGCAGCGGCGGAGAUAUCUGCAUGAGAGCCAAG